AUUGAACGCUGGCGGCAUGCCUUACACAUGCAAGUCGAACGGUAACGGGCCUCCGGGUGCCGACGAGUGGCGAACGGGUGAGUAAUACAUCGGAACGUGCCCGAUCGUGGGGGAUAACGAGGCGAAAGCUUUGCUAAUACCGCAUACGAUCUACGGAUGAAAGCAGGGGACCGCAAGGCCUUGCGCGGACGGAGCGGCCGAUGGCCGAUUAGGUAGUUGGUGGGAUAAAAGCUUACCAAGCCGACGAUCUGUAGCUGGUCUGAGAGGAUGAUCAGCCACACUGGGACUGAGACACGGCCCAGACUCCUACGGGAGGCAGCAGUGGGGAAUUUUGGACAAUGGGCGCAAGCCUGAUCCAGCCAUGCCGCGUGCAGGAUGAAGGCCUUCGGGUUGUAAACUGCUUUUGUACGGAACGAAAAGCCUUCUUUUAAUACAGGAGGGUCAUGACGGUACCGUAAGAAUAAGCACCGGCUAACUACGUG
RNAcentral lists this ribosomal RNA (482 nucleotides) under uncultured bacterium. Its description in RNAcentral is "partial 16S ribosomal RNA". It matches the Rfam family "Bacterial small subunit ribosomal RNA", at positions 30 to 507 of the family's 1533-position model. The record is from RNAcentral.